UGACAACUGAGCCCCUAUGGGUGGCCUUUAGAGUCUGCAAAGCUCAUUCCAAGUUUCCCAUUGGUAGGUAAUAAACGUGAGCAGUGGGAACAUGAAGUUAAGGGGAUGAUUCUGUAAACUGGGCCCACUGAGCUGACCCCCACAUGAUUUCUUGUAAAAGGCAAUUUACUUGCAGCCUUGGCUUAAGUCAAUAGAAAUGUUACAUUCCUCAGCAUACAACCUAUGAUCUGCAGGACAAAUCCAGACAGAAAGUCUCCCUGCUGGUAAGAACACAGGUUACCUAAAGGGGGGGACUUUCGUUAUCCUUACCCAGACUAGAUUCCAGAACUCAGGGAGACAAAGAAGUUCCAGUUAGAAUCAGUGUGGGCUGAAGUGACCCAAAGCUGCCUUGGACCUUUACCAUGAGCAGUGGGGCCUUGGAAGUCUGAGGCAGUCGCGCUGUCAGAUGUCAAGAGGUGGACUGGGUGGGACUCUGGAAACUUUUCUGGACACUCUUUCCCCUGAGUGUCCCCUUCUCGCCAUUUCCUAUCUCUACUGAUAAAUUCAUCUGCUGCUCAGUGACAUGUCUGAAAUCUUUUCUGGCAUGAUCAUAAGAACCAGUAUCAGGAGCUCCAUGGCUGCCUCAGCUGUGCAGCAGAUCUUUGCUCUGUAAUGCCAUGUGCUCUUCACAACAUCCCUCCAGGUAAUUAUUACAAACAUUUUUACAGGUGGGAAAUCUGAGGCUUAAAACCAGGAGGCAAUAGAGCAAGAGUUCAAGUCUGGGUCAGUGCAACUGUGGGUCAAGAGUUCUUUCAAUUGAAGUAAGAACACCUCCUUCACAAAUGCUUCACCUUCUAACCUGCCCCAGGCACCUGGUUCUGUCUGCAAUAUUCUACAUCAUCUCCUCAUGUUUUAGUCAGCUUUUAGCUAUUAUGACUUAAAGAUCUCACCAGAACAAUUGUACAGGAGGAAAAGUUUGAGAGCUCAUGGUCUCAGAGGUCUUAGUCUAUAGAAGAUGGGCUCUAUGCCUUGGAGCUUGAGGUGAGGCAGGACAUCAUAGCGGAAGAGUGUGGCAGAGGGAAACAGCUCACAUAAUGAUCAGGAAGCAGGGACUUCAUUCUCCAGAUACAAAUAUAUACCCCAUAGCCAUGCCCUCAAUAAGCCACUUCCUCCAGCCACACCCCACCUUUCUCCAGUUACCACUCAGUUAAUCCCAUCAGGGAUUAAUUCACUGAUUAUGCUAAGGCUAAAACCCAGUCAUUUCUCCUCCAAACCUUCUUGCAUUGUUUUACAUGUGAGCUUUUGAGAGACACCACAUCUAAAUCAUAAUACCUUCUUUAAAGGAAAUGAGGCUCCCAAACACUACUGUCCCCUUUACUCACCCAGUCAACCCUUCUGCCCACCACUACCAGCGUCACUAACUAUCCUGUGACUUCCUUUCUUUGUAUUUCCAGCUCCCAGAUUCAAAGCAAACUGGGACCCCAAUGAUCACCCAACCGAAUUUUCUUUUGCAUAGAUGGGUAACAGGCCCAGAAAGAGAAAGGGACUUUCCUGAGGUGACAGGACAGUUGCAGCCUCCUCUAUCUUCUUUCUGAACCCCCUCCAUCUUCUUUUAUCACACACACACACACACACACACCUCAUUUCCUGCCACUUCCAACUUACUCCUUUGUUCCUAACCUCAACCCUCUACAGCUUUGUUCCUUGUGUGAGUGCCACCAUUCAGACACUAGUGCCCUCAUGACUGCUAACUCUGGGGUGGGGGCAUUUCCCAGUGACAGACCAGUUUCUAACUGUCCUUGGUUAAACAGUUGCUCUUGGGAGGGAAGAGAAGGAAGUGGAUUUUAUCUGCUGAUUCUGAGUCAACAGUCUGCUGGAACAACACCUAGGUCCUUGUCAAGAGAACAGGGGAUUAGAGGAGGGGCAGAGGCUUGAGGGACACCACAUCUAAACCAUAACACCUUCUUUAAAGGAAAUGAGGCUCCCAAACACUACUGUCCUCUGGUUCUGUUAUCAGAGAGAAAAGACACUAAUGGAGGAUUAUGAUGGACCCUUUUAGUUCAGGGACCUUCCCUAAACCUAGUGAAGCAAGGCUGAGAAACAAGGUGCCAUUAGGGUUUGCCAGGUUUAUGUCAGCAAUUUAACCUGAGAGGAACCAGGCCAGAAAACUUUCGUUUGUCCUUUUGUAUUUCCUGAUAGUCCAUAAGUUAGUUUUCUAACCAUUUUUGAUAUUCAUAAAUUAGGAGGGGUUUUCCCAACAAUAAAGUAUGUUGGUGCAACGUGGAUGAACCUGGAGGACAUUGAGUUAAGUGAAAUAAGCCAACCACAGGAAGACACAGACUCCACGAUCUUUUAUAGAGAACCUAAAGAAGCAGGUUCAUAGAUGUAGAAUAGAAUAGUGGUGGCCAGAGGAUGGGGAGAGUAGUGAGGUAGUGAUGGGGAGAUUGGUGAAGAGGUACAGUGUGCAGACAGGAGGGAUAUGUUCUAGUGUGCACAGUGGGGUGACUAUGGUGAAAAUAUUGUAUUGACUAUUUCAAAAUGCUAGAAGACAGGAUUUUUAUUAUUUUCACUACAAAGAAAUGAUAAAUGUGUGAGGUCAUGGAAAUGUUCAAUACCUGAUAUAUAUUAUACAAUAUAUCCAUGUGUCAAAACCAUACCAUAUGCCAUAAAUGUGUGCUGCUUAGAAAAGGGAAAUGCUUGGGAAGCUACUUGAUUGGAUCAAAGGAAGAGUUACACAGUUGGUCUAGGUGAAAUGCAGGGAUGCAGCUUUAGGCUUGAGAUGCAAAAGAAACCAGGAAUUCAAAUGCCACCUGAACACCCUUUCUUUAUACAGUAUAUCAUUGUCUUUCAUUGUAGACUAGUUUCUUCCUUAUGGCAGGAAAUGUGGAUAAGAUCUCCCUCUCACUCAUUCUGUUACCAGAGAGAAAACACUAAUGGAGGAUUAUGAUGGACCAUUCUUGGUUCAGGGACCUCCCUAAACUUAAUGAAGCAAGGCUGAGAGACAAGAUGCUAUUAGGGAUAGGCAGGUUCAUGUCAGCAACCUAACCUUGAGCCCAGCAACUGGGGCCCAGAUUCAAGAUUACAUAACAGCAGGAAUCAUAGCCACAAGAGGAGUUGGGGAAAUGGGGUAUUAUAGAAAGAAGAGCAAGCAGUCCCCUAAAGAAGGUGACCUGGGCAGGCAAGUAAAUGUUCUCUCCAGUGCUCAGAAAUAGAAAAGCCUUAAUAACUUAUACCCAAGGGGCCUAGCAAGCAUCCAUCCCUUCCCACACACCUUCUGUUCAUUGCUUCCACUUCCAUAAUAAAUCAAUUUUACUAAUAUAAUUUAUGACCUACCUUGUGCAAGAAACUAAACUUCACAUAAAUAAAUUGUUUAAUACUCUUCAACUUCUCUGUUACUCAGCUUUCUGUCACUAUGACAAAACACCUAAGACUAGUCCAAUCAAUUUAAAAUGAGGAAGGUUUAUUUUGGCUCAUAGUUUUAGAGAUUUCAGUUACAUGGUUGCUUUUUCCUGUUGCUUUGGGUCUUUGGCAAAACAGCACAUCAUGGUAGGAGCAUGUGGCAAAGGAGAACUUUUCAUUUCAUGGCCAGGAAGCCACUUAUGUUUAUAAGUGAAAAGAGAAUGGGCUAGCAUGCCAAUAUCCCCUUCAAAGGCACACCACCAAUGACCCACCUUCUUUCCACUAAGGCCCCAUGUUUUAAAGGUGCCAUCUCGCACUAACACCACAACUGGAAACCAAGCCUUUUAUACAUAAGCCUAUGGGGGACAUUUAAAUCCAAACCAAGAAGCUUAUAUAAUUCUGUAAUAUUUGAUAUUCAUAUUCCCAGGCCUGACUUUCUCUUUUUUCACAUUUGAAGAAGUAUAUCUUACCCAGAUUUUUAAUUUUUAAUUUUUGUUUUCUUUUUCUGAUAAGCAGAGAAACUUGGACUUAAGAUUUGCUCGUUGUGAUUUGAUCUUUCUUUUUUAAAUUUAUUUAUUUUUUUGAUCUAAUAGUAUUGACAUUUAAUGCUUCAUUAAAGCAUUAAAUUGUAUCACAGAAUUUGCUGCUGCAUUGUAGCAAAAGCACUUUGGGGUACAAACUGAUUCUCACCCACACAAGUGCUCAAGUGCUAGGGGGCUAGGGAGUUAGCUCAGUGGAACAGCACUUGCCUACCAUCCACAAGGCCCUGGGUUAAUACUAAGGGCUAAAGAAAGGAAAAAAGGACAACUGGGGUUUCUAUUAUUAUACUGGCAUAUUAUGGACAUAUACCCUCUGAUUUCCCUUCCUCAUUUCUUUAUUCUUUUGCUCUCCAUUAUUAAAUGCUAUUGUCCCAUUAUUUGGGUGUAAAUAAUUUCAAAUAUUUUACUCUUUUUUAUUUUAAUUUUGGCAAUAUAUUUGCUGCAAUUGUUUGGGCUUAUAUCAAUACAAUCAAUGGCUCUCACUGCUUCCUACCAGUGAGACUGGUUCUUAUCUGAUAGUCUUAUCUGAUAAACUUAUCUGAUAUUCUUGAGUUUCCACCUAUGGUUCAGUGUUUCCUUCCUAUUGGACUUCUCUUUAAGUAAUAUUUUUUCAGAGAGAAUAUGUAGUGUGCAUUUGCAUAAUUUCCAUUGUUCUCCAAAAUAAAUAGCUUGAUUAAAAUUCUUGAAUCACAUGUUUUUCUUUCAAAGCUUU
Molecule: long non-coding RNA, 4629 nt
Filed under: Marmota monax (woodchuck)
Lineage: Eukaryota; Metazoa; Chordata; Mammalia; Rodentia; Sciuridae
Source: RNAcentral